AGCAGCCGCGGUAAUUCCAGCUCCAAUAGCGUAUAUUAAAGUUGUUGCAGUUAAAAAGCUCGUAGUUGAAUUUCGGGGUCAGUAGAUUGGUCGUGCCACUGGUAUGUACUGGUCUUACUGGCUCCUCCUUCCUGAUGAACCGUAAUGCCAUUAAUUUGGUGUUGCGGGGAGACUGGACUGUUACUUUGAAAAAAUUAGAGUGUUUAAAGCAGGCUAACGCUUGAAUACAUUAGCAUGGAAUAAUGAAAUAGGACGUUCGAUCUUAUUUUGUUGGUUUUCUAGGAUUGACGUAAUGAUUAAUAGGGAUAGUUGGGGGCAUUAGUAUUCAAUUGUCAGAGGUGAAAUUCUUGGAUUUAUUGAAGACUAACUACUGCGAAAGCAUUUGCCAAGGAUGUUUUCAUUAAUCAAGAACGAAAGUUAGGGGAUCGAAGACGAUCAGAUACCGUCGUAGUCUUAACCAUAAACUAUGCCGACUAGGGAUCGGAUGAUGUUAAUUUUUUAAUGACUCAUUCGGCGCCUU
This 520-nucleotide ribosomal RNA is filed under the name uncultured Glomus. RNAcentral's name for it is "SSU rRNA". It matches the Rfam family "Eukaryotic small subunit ribosomal RNA", at positions 569 to 1089 of the family's 1831-position model. Lineage: Eukaryota; Fungi; Glomeromycota; Glomeromycetes; Glomerales; Glomeraceae. The record is from RNAcentral.